RNAcentral lists this ribosomal RNA (919 nucleotides) under uncultured bacterium. Its description in RNAcentral is "bacterial SSU rRNA". It matches the Rfam family "Bacterial small subunit ribosomal RNA", at positions 1 to 916 of the family's 1533-position model. The record is from RNAcentral.
UAGAGUUUGAUCCUGGCUCAGGAUGAACGCUAGCUACAGGCUUAACACAUGCAAGUCGAGGGGAAACGAUAGAGAAAGCUUGCUUUUUCUAGGCGUCGACCGGCGCACGGGUGAGUAACGCGUAUCCAACCUGCCCAUCACUUGGGGAUAACCUUGCGAAAGUAAGACUAAUACCCAAUGAUAUCUCUAGAAGACAUCUGAAAGAGAUUAAAGAUUUAUCGGUGAUGGAUGGGGAUGCGUCUGAUUAGCUUGUUGGCGGGGUAACGGCCCACCAAGGCGACGAUCAGUAGGGGUUCUGAGAGGAAGGUCCCCCACAUUGGAACUGAGACACGGUCCAAACUCCUACGGGAGGCAGCAGUGAGGAAUAUUGGCCAAUGGGCGAGAGCCUGAACCAGCCAAGUAGCGUGCAGGAAGACGGCCCUAUGGGUUGUAAACUGCUUUUAUAAGGGAAUAAAGUGGGAGUCGUGACUCCUUUUGCAUGUACCUUAUGAAUAAGGACCGGCUAAUUCCGUGCCAGCAGCCGCGGUAAUACGGAAGGUCCGGGCGUUAUCCGGAUUUAUUGGGUUUAAAGGGAGCGUAGGCCGGAGAUUAAGCGUGUUGUGAAAUGUAGACGCUCAACGUCUGCACUGCAGCGCGAACUGGUUUCCUUGAGUACGCACAAAGUGGGCGGAAUUCGUGGUGUAGCGGUGAAAUGCUUAGAUAUCACGAAGAACUCCGAUUGCGAAGGCAGCUCACUGGAGCGCAACUGACGCUGAAGCUCGAAAGUGCGGGUAUCGAACAGGAUUAGAUACCCUGGUAGUCCGCACGGUAAACGAUGGAUGCCCGCUGUUGGUCUGAAUAGGUCAGCGGCCAAGCGAAAGCAUUAAGCAUCCCACCUGGGGAGUACGCCGGCAACGGUGAAACUCAAAGGAAUUGACGG